This 1321-nucleotide ribosomal RNA is filed under the name Serratia marcescens. RNAcentral describes it as "partial 23S ribosomal RNA". It matches the Rfam family "Bacterial large subunit ribosomal RNA", at positions 1629 to 2925 of the family's 2925-position model. The record is from RNAcentral. Lineage: Bacteria; Pseudomonadati; Pseudomonadota; Gammaproteobacteria; Enterobacterales; Yersiniaceae.
AGGUAACAUUAAAUCGUACCCCAAACCGACACAGGUGGUCAGGUAGAGAAUACCAAGGCGCUUGAGAGAACUCGGGUGAAGGAACUAGGCAAAAUGGUGCCGUAACUUCGGGAGAAGGCACGCUGGCAUGUAGGUGAAGUCCCUUGCGGAUGGAGCUGAAGCCAGUCGAAGAUACCAGCUGGCUGCAACUGUUUAAUAAAAACACAGCACUGUGCAAACACGAAAGUGGACGUAUACGGUGUGACGCCUGCCCGGUGCUGGAAGGUUAAUUGAUGGGGUCAGCCGCAAGGCGAAGCUCUUGAUCGAAGCCCCAGUAAACGGCGGCCGUAACUAUAACGGUCCUAAGGUAGCGAAAUUCCUUGUCGGGUAAGUUCCGACCUGCACGAAUGGCGUAAUGAUGGCCAGGCUGUCUCCACCCGAGACUCAGUGAAAUUGAACUCGCUGUGAAGAUGCAGUGUACCCGCGGCAAGACGGAAAGACCCCGUGAACCUUUACUAUAGCUUGACACUGAACAUUGAGCCUUGAUGUGUAGGAUAGGUGGGAGGCUUUGAAGCGUGGACGCCAGUCUGCGUGGAGCCAUCCUUGAAAUACCACCCUUUAAUGUUUGAUGUUCUAACUCGGCCCCAUAAUCUGGGGUGAGGACAGUGUCUGGUGGGUAGUUUGACUGGGGCGGUCUCCUCCCAAAGAGUAACGGAGGAGCACGAAGGUUAGCUAAUCACGGUCGGACAUCGUGAGGUUAGUGCAAAGGCAUAAGCUAGCUUGACUGCGAGAGUGACGGCUCGAGCAGGUACGAAAGUAGGUCUUAGUGAUCCGGUGGUUCUGAAUGGAAGGGCCAUCGCUCAACGGAUAAAAGGUACUCCGGGGAUAACAGGCUGAUACCGCCCAAGAGUUCAUAUCGACGGCGGUGUUUGGCACCUCGAUGUCGGCUCAUCACAUCCUGGGGCUGAAGUAGGUCCCAAGGGUAUGGCUGUUCGCCAUUUAAAGUGGUACGCGAGCUGGGUUUAGAACGUCGUGAGACAGUUCGGUCCCUAUCUGCCGUGGGCGUUGGAAGAUUGAGAGGGGUUGCUCCUAGUACGAGAGGACCGGAGUGAACGCACCACUGGUGUUCGGGUUGUCAUGCCAAUGGCAUUGCCCGGUAGCUAAGUGCGGAAAAGAUAAGCGCUGAAAGCAUCUAAGCGCGAAACUUGCCUCAAGAUGAGUCUUCCCUGGGCCUUCAAGGCCCCUGAAGGAACGUUUAAGACUAAGACGUUGAUAGGCUGGGUGUGUAAGUGCAGCGAUGCAUUGAGCUAACCAGUACUAAUGAUCCGUGAGGCUUAACCUU